This 2498-nucleotide long non-coding RNA is filed under the name Homo sapiens (human). RNAcentral's name for it is "HSALNT0031569". Lineage: Eukaryota; Metazoa; Chordata; Mammalia; Primates; Hominidae. The record is from RNAcentral.
AUUACACCAAACAUAAAUAAUACAUUUGAGACAGUGGUAAACAUUCAAACGAAUUGUGGCUUGGUGCAGAGGAGAUUCUGACAGUAAGAGCUAUACCUGUGCACAGAAUACCUUAGGCAACCACACACUAGACCCUUAACACCAUCUACCUACCAUCCCCUUCUUUGCCUUUCCUCAAAGGCAAGUGAGUUGAUGAUGCUUCGUUGUAAAGAAUAAACUCUAGACAUUGAUUGUUUGAAUACUAUAUUUUUCCACAACAGUCAAGGGCUUAUUCCAAUGCCUACACAACAUUAGUUUCCUAUAUCCUGCAUUAAUUGUUUUGUAAAGCCAAAAUAAAAUCCAUUUUCCUUUAUCUUUUCUUCUACCUUUCCUAGAUAGCUUCAUGCAAAGGUAGAACUUGAAAGAAGGAUUCCUAUUUCCAAAGCAAAUUUGCUUUCCAUCGUGUUAAGUUGAUGAGAACUAGGAACAGUUCCUCUAGCCAUCUCCGCACGACUAAAUCCUAAUUUAUUUUUUCUAGUAAAACCCUAAUUUCAUUAAGUCACUCCUUAUUAUCCUAUAGGAAUGUGGACAGUGGAAGUAGACCAAAGAAAAUAAUAUCCUAGUUUUUCCACUGACCGACAGUAUGACUUUGAAUGAGUUCACCUGACAACUCUAAACCUCAUGCCCUCAUCUGUCAAAUCAGGAUGAUAAGGAAUCCCCUCUCAUAGAGUUGUGCCAGUGACCCAGCAAUAACUCCCUUAAUGCUAGCUGCUUCUGCACUUACCACAAUCAGCCUUUUAUUAUGGUUGAAUAGAUAUGUUUUCCUUACGUGGUUAUAGAGUUCAAGGACAUUUAGAUGUUAUAUAUACCAUUUUUAUUUUAGGUAAAAAUACUGAAGCUUACAGGCUCAGAAUGAUUUUUCCUAAACGGCGUAGAUAUGGCUGUGAGCUCCUGAAGAUAGGGAACCUGGCACUUUGGUUUAUAUUUAAAUCUCAGCACCCAGCAGAAUGACUGACAACUAGUAGACUUGGUAGGUAUUUAUUUAUUGCAUGGAUGGAAGAAUCUCUAAUUUCUCCCUCUUAAGGCUACAAUCAGUUUGACAGUUUAUCUGUGUGUGUGACUCAACCUGAGUUGCUAUAAAAAAUAUAAUAGACUGGGUGGCUUAAAUAAUAGAAAUUUAUUUCUGAAAGUUCUACAGCUUAUCACUAUGUCCUCACAUGACAGAGCAUAAGAGAGGAAGAGGGAGCUCUCUUUCUCUUCUUCUAAGGCCAGUAUAAAGAAAAAUAAAUAAAUAAACAACAAAAAAUAAGGCCAGUAUAAUACCAUAUCAUAGUUGUGGCUUUCCAGAGAAACAUAACCAAAAAGAAGUAUGUGGAUAGAUAGAAAGAUAGAUAGAUGGAUAGAUAGAUAGAUUAAUAGAGAUCUAUAUAAUGGGAAUUGGCUCAUAUGAUUAUGGAGGAUAAAAAGUCCCAUGGUCUGCUGUCUGCAAGCUGGAGGACCAGGAAAGUUAAUAGUGUAAUUCAGUCUGAGCCCAAAGGCCUGAGAAUCAGGGGAGCCAAUAGUAUAAAUACCAGUUCCUGGACAAAGGCCUGGGGACUAGGGGUAAGGGUAGGGGUAGGGGUGGGAGUGGAGGGUGGGUGUGGUGAAAGUCCUGGAGGUGUCUGAGGGCAGGAGAAGAUCGAUACCUUUCAAACACAGAAUGAUAAUUCACCCUUCUUCUGCCUUUUUGUUCUAUAUGGGCCUUCAACAGAUUGAAUGGUACCCACACUGGGGUGAGCUAUCUACUUUACUCAGUUCAUCAAUUCAAAUGCUAGUAUCUUCUGGAAACACCCUCACAGACAUAUCCAGAAAUAAUGUUUUACCAGCUUCCUGGUAAUCUCUUAGUCCAGUGAAGUUGACACAUAAAAUUAAGCAGCACAGUCAACAAUCCUAUUGGAUUAAGCGGUCUAUGGUUAUGACCUCAUUUAACCUUUAUCACCUCCUCAUAUGCCCUAUCUCCAAAUACAGUCACAUUGGUGGCUAGAGCUUCAGAACUCACACACACACACACACACACACACACACACACACGUAUAUUUUAGGAGGGGUCACAAUUUAUUCUAAUAGCACCAGGUUAUACUUAUUUGACUUGAAGUUGCCUCAGUCCUUCCAGCAGAUACUAACUUAGCACUCUCUACUUUUCACUUUUCUUAUUUGCAAGCAAAUCUUUAUUUUUUUUUAUAAAAGAGUGUUCAGUUUCUGUUAACUCUACAGGUUUUCUCUCUCUUUCUUUCUCUCUCCCUCUCUUGAUUUCUUUCUCUUUGUUGCUGUUUGGCUUUGAAGAAAAUAAAAAUCUUUUUCUGAGUAUAUUUUUUAUGUGAAUUGAAAGUUGUGGUACAGGAUGGCAACAACAGAAGUGUAUUAAUGUAAGCAAGACUCAGAAAUCAUUAUUUAUGCAUUCAAAAAGUAAAUAUAUUUCCAGUUUUUGUGUGUGCCACUGAAUUUCGUUGGGUUUUGAUAUUCUUUCUUCUGUGGUUUUU